Molecule: ribosomal RNA, 442 nt
Filed under: uncultured bacterium
Lineage: Bacteria
Description: partial 16S ribosomal RNA
Rfam family: Bacterial small subunit ribosomal RNA
Source: RNAcentral
CCUACGGGAGGUAGCAGUGGGGAAUAUUGGGCAAUGGGCGCAAGCCUGACCCAGCAACGCCGCGUGAAGGAAGAAGGCUUUCGGGUUGUAAACUUCUUUUGUCAGGGAAGAGUAGAAGACGGUACCUGACGAAUAAGCCACGGCUAACUACGUGCCAGCAGCCGCGGUAAUACGUAGGUGGCAAGCGUUGUCCGGAUUUACUGGGUGUAAAGGGCGUGUAGCCGGGUUGACAAGUCAGAUGUGAAAUCCUGCGGCUUAACCGCAGAACUGCAUUUGAAACUGUUGAUCUUGAGUACUGGAGAGGCAGACGGAAUUCCUAGUGUAGCGGUGAAAUGCGUAGAUAUAUGGAAGAACACCAGUGGCGAAGGCGGCCGCCUGGCCUGUUACUGACGCUGAGGCACGAAAGCGUGGGGAGCAAAUAGGAUUAGAUACCCUUGUAGUC